This 777-nucleotide ribosomal RNA is filed under the name Salmonomyces javanicus. RNAcentral's name for it is "Pseudoidium javanicum partial 28S ribosomal RNA". It matches the Rfam family "Eukaryotic large subunit ribosomal RNA", at positions 1 to 789 of the family's 3401-position model. Lineage: Eukaryota; Fungi; Ascomycota; Leotiomycetes; Helotiales; Erysiphaceae. The record is from RNAcentral.
UUGACCUCGAAUCAGGUAGGGAUACCCGCUGAACUUAAGCAUAUCAAUAAGCGGAGGAAAAGAAACCAACCGGGAUUACCUCAGUAACGGCGAGUGAAGCGGUAACAGCUCAAAUUUGAAAUCUGGCUCCCUUGGAGUCCGAGUUGUAAUUUGUAGAAGAUGCUUUGGGUGGCAGGACUAGCCUAAGUUCCUUGGAACAGGACGUCAUAGAGGGUGAGAAUCCCGUAUGUGGCCCUGACCUGCGCCUAUGUAAAGCUCUUUCGACGAGUCGAGUUGUUUGGGAAUGCAGCUCAAAAUGGGUGGUAAAUUUCAUCUAAAGCUAAAUAUGGGCCAGAGACCGAUAGCGCACAAGUAGAGUGAUCGAAAGAUGAAAAGCACUUUGGAAAGAGAGUUAAACAGUACGUGAAAUUGUUGAAAGGGAAGCGCUUGCACCCAGACUUGGCCACCGUUGAUCCGCUGGAGUUCUCUCCAGCGCCACUCAGCGGGGGACAGGCCAGCAUCGGUUCGGGUGGCUGGAGAAAGACCACAGGAAUGUAGCUCUCUUCGGGGAGUGUUAUAGCCUAGGGUGCCAUACAGCCCACGCCGGAUCGAGGACCGCGCCUUUGGGCUAGGAUGCUGGCGUAAUGGGUGUAAGCGACCCGUCUUGAAACACGGACCAAGGAGUCUAACAUCUAUGCGAGUGUUUGGGCAUCAAACCCAUACGCGGAAUGAAAGUGAACGUAGGUGAGAGCCCCUUGAGGGCGCAUCAUCGACCGAUCCUGAUGUCUUCGGAUGGAU